GUCGACGUACUUCAUAGGAUCAUUUCUAUAGUAGACGUCCCUCUUUGACUCUUCAAAAGAGCCACUGAAUCCAACUUGGUUGAUGAGUUAUGAUUACCCUUACACCCUCAGAGUGAGAAACACAAUUUUUUUGCUUGACUAUGGUUCUCGAUAAUCUAGUCAUCUAGUUUGUUUUGCCUUGUUAGCCAAUUACUUUACUGUAAUUGCGAAGGAGCAAUGAUCUUGACCUUUUUUACUUUAUGCCUUUUUGGAGGAAAUUGUUUAAAGGUGGGUGUAAGUGGCUGUCUGACAAGU
Lodderomyces elongisporus NRRL YB-4239 is the source of this 294-nucleotide small nucleolar RNA. It matches the Rfam family "Fungal small nucleolar RNA U3". Rfam says of the family: Small nucleolar RNAs (snoRNAs) are involved in the processing and modification of rRNA in the nucleolus. There are two main classes of snoRNAs: the box C/D class, and the box H/ACA class. U3 snoRNA is a member of the box C/D class. The record is from Rfam. NCBI's taxonomy places the organism in Eukaryota, Fungi, Ascomycota, Pichiomycetes, Serinales, Debaryomycetaceae.